GAAGGUAACACGGUCCCCAUACAGGAAACUGGAGUCCCUGAUCCACUUCAUCACCUACGCCAUUUCCCCCGAGACGUGCUUGAAGAUUGGAUUCUCAUAUCUGCAGGUUACACGGUCCCCGUGCAGGAAACUGGAGUCCCUGGUCCACGUCAUCACCUACGCCAUAUUCCCCAAGAGGAGGAUAGGCUUCUCCUACCUGCAGGACGUGAUGAGUUUAUACGGCUGAGCAGGACUGUGGUCCCUUCUUCAUAAAUAUGGACAACCGGUUAUCAAGUACAGUACACUUAUAUUGGAAUUGCAGUGUCAAUACAUCAACUUAAUAGGAAUAAGUGUGAUGCAUUUAACUGUAACAUUCAAAUGAGCUUAUCGAUCAUGACGUCAUUAUUCCUGCCAUGGAGACGACAACGUUAAAGUAUAGCUUUUCCACGGGAACAUAUCACGUAGAAUUGUGUUUGGCUGCAACAUUCAAUUGUAUGGAUUCUUCAUAUCAUAGCAAUACAGUCCAAUACCUUAUAACAUGUCAAGGCGGAAAAAAAGAGAAAUCAAAACCAUUCCUCCAAUUCGCAUUCAGUACGAGAACAAUGAUUUUAAGAAUCUAAAUAAAAUGUUCUUGGAAAUAAAGUAAAUACAUCCUGGUUUUCUACCGUCCUUAGACAUUUGGAUCAACGCGC
Long non-coding RNA from Pecten maximus, 671 nucleotides. RefSeq lists it as uncharacterized. The transcript has 3 exons. The record is from RefSeq and is a predicted model, not a curated record. Lineage: Eukaryota; Metazoa; Mollusca; Bivalvia; Pectinida; Pectinidae.